This 440-nucleotide ribosomal RNA is filed under the name uncultured bacterium. RNAcentral's name for it is "partial 16S ribosomal RNA". It matches the Rfam family "Bacterial small subunit ribosomal RNA", at positions 338 to 795 of the family's 1533-position model. The record is from RNAcentral.
CCUACGGGACGCAGCAGUGGGGAAUAUUGGACAAUGGGGGAAACCCUGAUCCCGCGACGCCGCGUGAGUGAAGAAGUAUUUCGGUACGUAAAGCUCUAUCAGCAGGAAAGAAAAUGACGGUACCUGACUAAGAAGCCCCGGCUAACUACGUGCCAGCAGCCGCGGUAAUACGUAGGGGGCAAGCGUUAUCCGGAUUUACUGGGUGUAAAGGGAGCGUAGACGGCAGAGCAAGUCUGGAGUGAAAUGCCGGGGCCCAACCCCGGAACUGCUCUGGAAACUGUGAAGCUGGAGUGCAGGAGAGGUAAGCGAAAUUCCUGGUGUAGCGGUGAAAGGCGUAGAGAUCAGGAGGAACACCAGUGGCGAGGGCGGACUGCUGGACUGUAACUGACGUUGAGGCUUGAAAGCGUGGGGAGCAAACAGGAUUAGAUACCCCAGGAGUC